Long non-coding RNA from Dermochelys coriacea (leatherback sea turtle), 1777 nucleotides. RefSeq lists it as uncharacterized. Lineage: Eukaryota; Metazoa; Chordata; Testudines; Dermochelyidae. The record is from RefSeq and is a predicted model, not a curated record. The transcript is spliced from 2 exons.
CAAAGGGGAUGAUAUGUGUAGCUCAGCUAAAUAAUGAUCUGAAGUCAAUAGACAUGGUAACAGGUGGCUUUAGCUCUAUUAGGGUGCUAACAGAUGCAAUGGUACCCACAGAAAUCCUGCAGUGGCGACUCCGCAACGGUCUGGGCCCAGCUCUGGGGGCACUGAUCACCCACAGCAGUACCAACUACACCACAACCCUAAAUCCAGUGUGGAGGUGAGCCCUGGGCUGAAGGGGAUGCUGAAGAGCAAACCCUGCAGCAGUGGCUCUUGCCCAGCCCAGCAGGACAGGCGCCAACGCUGUGGGGUGAGCGCGGGGAGGGCUCACUCUGCAGCCUAUCCUCCCCCAGGCCUCCUUUCAGCACGAUGCUGGAUCAGGGUUGCAGUACCAAGAGGGAACGUCCUGCUGCAGGUGGUUGGUGCCCCAUCGCUGGGGCAAGGAGGGGGCAGUGCCAUGCACCCAUUGAACUGGGAGCUUACAUCCACCUCUGCAUGGUGACCAUAGCAUUUGAAAGGUGUAAAUUCCAAUGAAGGACACGGAUUGUUCAGGGUGCUGUAUGUGUAAUGAACUGAAGUUAAGAAGAGAUAUUUAAACUGAACAUCAGACAAAUGUUCUGACUUGGAAAUCGGUUAGUCUAUGGAAGAGUCUUCCAAGAAGUAUGAAAAAAAGCUUAAUUGAGACAUUUUAAAGGAUGUUUUUUCUCUAAAAAUAAAGAAUUAAUUAAGCUUCCUUUAGACUGGUUUCUAAUAAACAACCAAAAAACCAAAGUGUGAGUGGGUCAAAAAGUUGUUUCUUCAUAGUAAUAUUCCUUAUGAAGAAGCUUUGACUUCUAGGCCCAGAUCCUUAAAGAUAUUUAGGAGCCUCAGGGAUCUGAUGGAAGUUAAGAGCCUAAAUACCUUUGAGGAUCUGGGCCUACUGCCCUCUAAACCAUAUGCUUUAGAGUGGUGGUUCUCAACCAGGGACUGCAAGCAGGUUUCAGGAGGUCCGCCAGGCAGGACCAGUGUUAGACUUGCUUGGGCCCAGGGCAGAAAGCAGAAGCCCACCACAUGGGAGUGAAGUCCAGGGCCCUGAGCCCCACCACCCGGGCUGAAGCAGAAGCCUGAGCAACUUAGCUUCACAGGGGCCCCUAUGGCGUCAGGCCCCGGGCAAUUGCCCUGCUUGCUACCCCUCAACGCUGGCUCUAGCUUUUAUAUGCAGAAAACAUGGGGCUCUGGGAUAAGGUUCAGUGUAGCCACCAGACAGACAUCUUAGAGCUCAGUUUUGUUUCUGUAGUUGUGGCACAGAUGGGCCCUGGAGUUUUUACAGCAUGUUCUCAACCUUUUCAGAAAGAAAAAGAUUGAGAACCCCUGCCUUAGAGCACGUGCCACUUACAGUGUGCUGAUCAUGGAAAUUAUUUAGUUUAUCAUAGUUGUUUCAGCCUUGCUUUCCUGCCAAUCCCUUCACUCAGGGUAUGCAACUAUGUUCUUUCCUAUACUGAGGGAAAUUAAAUCUUAAUUAAAUUAAAAUAAAUCUGAAGGAUUUAUAUUAUUUUGUUGUUACUGUUGCCUAAGAAUUUGAUGUUAGCCUCAGAGACAAAGGGUCAUGCAUUGCUAUGUACCUUGCAAAAUUAACUACUGUGUUCAUGUAACAGACACUUUUACAAGAUGCUGUUAUGGAUAUCUGAGAUCAGGGCCAAAACUUAACUGUAUUACCUCCUCUACUUGUUUCCCUUGUGGAUUUUCUAGAGUGAUGUGUGUUUAGUUUCAAUAGCGAGGGUAAGUCAAUGAAAUAAAGACAGGA